GAUGAACGCUAGCUACAGGCUUAACACAUGCAAGUCGAGGGGAAACGCCAUCGAAAGCUUGCUUUUGAUGGGCGUCGACCGGCGCACGGGUGAGUAACGCGUAUCCAACCUGCCCAUCACUUGGGAAUAACCUUGCGAAAGUAAGACUAAUACCCAAUGACAUCCCACGAAGACAUCUGAAUGGGAUUAAAGAUUUAUCGGUGAUGGAUGGGGAUGCGUCUGAUUAGCUUGUUGGCGGGGUAACGGCCCACCAAGGCAACGAUCAGUAGGGGUUCUGAGAGGAAGGUCCCCCACAUUGGAACUGAGACACGGUCCAAACUCCUACGGGAGGCAGCAGUGAGGAAUAUUGGUCAAUGGGCGAGAGCCUGAACCAGCCAAGUAGCGUGCAGGAUGACGGCCCUAGGGGUUGUAAACUGCUUUUAUAAGGGAAUAAAGUGGGUCUCGUGAGACUUUUUGCAUGUACCUUAUGAAUAAGGACCGGCUAAUUCCGUG
This 492-nucleotide ribosomal RNA is filed under the name uncultured bacterium. RNAcentral's name for it is "partial 16S ribosomal RNA". It matches the Rfam family "Bacterial small subunit ribosomal RNA", at positions 28 to 507 of the family's 1533-position model. The record is from RNAcentral.